RNAcentral lists this ribosomal RNA (494 nucleotides) under uncultured bacterium. RNAcentral's name for it is "bacterial SSU rRNA". It matches the Rfam family "Bacterial small subunit ribosomal RNA", at positions 29 to 518 of the family's 1533-position model. The record is from RNAcentral.
AUGAACGCUAGCGACAGGCCUAACACAUGCAAGUCAGGGCGAGCACAAGGAGCAAUCUGAGGUGGCGACCGGCGCACGGGUGAGUAACACGUAUGCAACCUGCCUGUAAGCGGGGAAUAACCCGUUGAAAGACGGACUAAUACCGCAUAAUACUAAAUUACUGCAUGGUAAUUUAUUUAAACAUUUAUGGCUUACAGAUGGGCAUGCGCAUGAUUAGCUAGUUGGAGAGGUAACGGCUCCCCAAGGCAACGAUCAUUAGGGGUUCUGAGAGGAAGGUCCCCCACACUGGUACUGAGACACGGACCAGACUCCUACGGGAGGCAGCAGUGAGGAAUAUUGGUCAAUGGACGAGAGUCUGAACCAGCCAAGUCGCGUGCAGGAAGAAUGUCCUAAUGGAUUGUAAACUGCUUUUGCAGGGGAAUAAAGUGCAUCACGUGUGAUGUUUUGUAUGUACUCUGCGAAUAAGGAUCGGCUAACUCCGUGCCAGCCGCUGC